This 1469-nucleotide small RNA is filed under the name Arabidopsis thaliana (thale cress). RNAcentral's name for it is "ATSL169190". Lineage: Eukaryota; Viridiplantae; Streptophyta; Magnoliopsida; Brassicales; Brassicaceae. The record is from RNAcentral.
UCUCCAAUGAUGAUGAUCUUUUGUGCUAUUUGGAAUGGAAUAAAAUAGAAUUCAGUGUUCUGCAUGUGGAGUUGGUAAAAGAUGACGGCGAGAAUCAACGGUCUGAGCAAAUUCGAGUUAGUGAAGGUGGUGAAGUAGGUGCAAGUAACAAGGAGUUUGUUUCUUGUGGAAUAACUCGAAGAGAUCAUGAUGAUGUCAUGAUUCUAUAUGAAAGUGAGCUGUGUGAACAGAAUAAGCAAGUUGAAAACAGUGAAGCUGUGGCAUGUGAAGAACAGGAAGAGAUGGCAUGUGAAGAACGGGAAGAGAUGGCAUGUGUAGAACGAGAAGAUGGCAUGGAUAACCAAGGUAUUGGGGUAUGUAAACGGGUAAACAAGGAAUGGGAAGAUGGUGUGAAUCUUACUAUAGGUCAAGAAUUUGGAAGUAAGAAAGCAGUACAAGAUCUACUUGAAAAGGGUGCACAUAAGAACUGUUUUGAGUAUGAUAUAAUGAAGUCGGAUCCAAUGUUGUAUGUGGUAAAAUGCACUGGAAAAAAAUUUGGCUGCAAGUGGUUUGUAAGGGUUGCUAAAGUUAAGAAUUCAGAAUGCUUCUCAGUUAGAACUUACAAUAAGAUGCAUUCAUGUUAUCGUUCAACUACAAGUACGCAAAAAAUAAAAUAAAAGGCACGCCACGGAUAGUAGCAUCAGUUUUGCGUGACGAUUAUCCGUGUAAGCUUAAGACUCCAUUUCCAAAAGUUAUCAUCCCGUUAGUUCAAUCAAGAGUUGGUGUUAAAGUGUCAUAUUCAACCGCAUGGAGAGGGAAAAGGGAUGCUGCUAAUGAGGAAAGUUACAAGACGUUGAAAUCCUAUUUGUAAAUGCUAGAGAUUACGAAUGAAGGAACUAUAUCAUUUGUGGAAUUAGAUGAAAAGAAGAAUUUUCAGUACUUAUUCUUUGCGUUGGGAGCUUGCAUUGAAGGCUUCAAUGCUAUGAGAAAAGUGAUCAUUGUGGAUGCGACUCACCUUAAGAUUGCACAAGGUGGAGUACUUGUUGUUGCUUUAGCUCAAGAUCUUGAACACCACCAUUAUCCUAUUGAUUUUGGUGUACUUGAUGGUGAAAAGGAUGUAAGUUGGAGUUGGUUUUUCGAGAAGUUGAAAUCAGUAAUACCGGACAGUUCUGAGCUUGUGUUCGUUUCCGAUAGAAAUCAAAGCCUUAUGAAAUCACAACGUGAAUUGUAUCCGCUAUCUCAACAUGGUUGUUGUAUAUAUCAUUUGUGUCAGAAUGUGAAAGGAGCAUGCAAUUACAGCAAGAAAAAAGUCGUUGGAAAAAAAUUCAUGGAAUGCGCUAAAGCUUAUACAGAGGCUGAGUUCUUGAAACUCUAUGGUGAUUUUAAGGAAAGGUAUCCAGCUGCAGCGGUAUAUCAAGAUAAACAUGUUGAAGAAAAAAAAUGGAGUAGAUGCUGUUUUCCAGGAGCAAGAUACAACAUAGACACGAGUA